GACGAACGCUGGCGGCGUGCUUAACACAUGCAAGUCGAACGGAAAGGCCCUGCUUUUGUGGGGUGCUCGAGUGGCGAACGGGUGAGUAACACGUGAGUAACCUGCCCUUGACUUUGGGAUAACUUCAGGAAACUGGGGCUAAUACCGGAUAGGAGCUCCUGCUGCAUGGUGGGGGUUGGAAAGUUUCGGCGGUUGGGGAUGGACUCGCGGCUUAUCAGCUUGUUGGUGGGGUAGUGGCUUACCAAGGGUUUGACGGGUAGCCGGCCUGGGAGGGUGACCGGCCACAUUGGGACUGAGAUACGGACCAGACUCCUACGGGAGGCAGCAGUGGGGAAUAUUGCACAAUGGGCGGAAGCCUGAUGCAGCAACGCCGCGUGCGGGAUGACGGCCUUCGGGUUGUAAACCGCUUUCGCCUGUGACGAAGCGUGAGUGACGGUAAUGGGUAAAGAAGCACCGGCUAACUACGUG
Molecule: ribosomal RNA, 468 nt
Filed under: uncultured bacterium
Lineage: Bacteria
Description: partial 16S ribosomal RNA
Rfam family: Bacterial small subunit ribosomal RNA
Source: RNAcentral